Molecule: ribosomal RNA, 253 nt
Filed under: uncultured bacterium
Lineage: Bacteria
Description: partial 16S ribosomal RNA
Rfam family: Bacterial small subunit ribosomal RNA
Source: RNAcentral
UACGUAGGGGGCAAGCGUUGUCCGGAUUUAUUGGGCGUAAAGAGCGUGUAGGCGGCCAGACAGGUCCGUUGUGAAAACUAGAGGCUUAACCUCUAGACGUCGAUGGAAACCGUCUGGCUAGAGUCCGGAAGAGGAGAGUGGAAUUCCUGGUGUAGCGGUGAAAUGCGCAGAUAUCAGGAAGAACACCCGUGGCUAAGGCGGUUCUCUAGUACGGUACUGACGCUGAGACGCGAAAGCGUGGGGAGCGAACAGG